Molecule: ribosomal RNA, 253 nt
Filed under: uncultured bacterium
Lineage: Bacteria
Description: partial 16S ribosomal RNA
Rfam family: Bacterial small subunit ribosomal RNA
Source: RNAcentral
UACGGAGGGUGCAAGCGUUAUCCGGAUUCACUGGGUUUAAAGGGUGCGUAGGUGGACUUGUAAGUCAGUGGUGAAAGCCCGGAGCUCAACUCCGGAACUGCCAUUGAUACUGCAAGUCUUGAGUACACUUGAGGUGGGCGGAAUACAUCAUGUAGUGGUGAAAUACUUAGAUAUGAUGUAGAACACCGAUUGCGAAGGCAGCUCACUAAAUUGUAACUGACACUGAGGCACGAAAGCGUGGGGAUCAAACAGG